UUUGCAUCCUAGAUCCGCAACAAAGGUAGUGGAGGAGCAGGAAAAUGGAGAGAACGACAGUGGAGAAGGAGGAGAAGGGAGAGGAUGAAAGUGGAGGUGGAGGAGGAGGAGGGAGAGGAAGGGGCAGUGACGGCAACAACGAUGUCGAAGGAGAUGAGCAAGAUGAGAGAAAAAGGAGAGGCAUAAGGGUAUUUUGCUCAGAUUUAAAAAAUUGAAUCGAAAAUACAAAAUGCAAAAAAGUGGCCUUGUUUUGCAAAAAUGUUAAACCAAUGAUAUGUAAAUUGGCCAUUAUUAUUCCAAAUAAAAUAUAAUAAUAUGAAUCUAUGAUACGGUUUUAACUAUGAAGAAAUGAUAAAAAUAAUACUUGAUUGAAUAAUUAUUAUUAUUAUUUUUUUCUGAAAUAACUGUUUGAGAGAAGAAUUUAUUUUAUUUCAUGCUCAUAUUUGAUACAUACAUCUUUCUGAACUUAAGGUCUCUUACUAUAAUUAUAAAUUAAUUUCAAAUGCGUAAAAUUGAUGUGACUUAUGCAUUAUAAGAAUUUUUAUAAUUUAAAAAUGGAAUGAAAAUUUUAGUAGAUUUUGCCAUUGUAAAGAUAAACAUCUCGAAGAGUAAUUACUGACUUUUCCAAGAGUCUUCUCCUCUCUUUCUCUCUCUAACUCUUCUUACUAACUUCCUUACCUGCUUUCAUUCUCUCUGGCUUUUGACCGGAUUUUGUCUAGGUAUCCGGUCAAUCAGCUCGAAUUUUUAUUAUCACUAUUAUUUUCCUACAGUUUCACUUGUUGUUAGUAUCUAUAUUUUGUUCCACAUUCUUCCGCACAAUCAUCUAAUUUAGUCAUCUCCUUCUAGCUC
Molecule: long non-coding RNA, 849 nt
Filed under: Ananas comosus (pineapple)
Lineage: Eukaryota; Viridiplantae; Streptophyta; Magnoliopsida; Poales; Bromeliaceae
Description: long non-coding RNA (ACOM_LNC005851)
Source: RNAcentral